CCUACGGGAGGCAGCAGUGGGGGAUAUUGCACAAUGGGGGAAACCCUGAUGCAGCAACGCCGCGUGAAGGAUGAAGGUUUUCGGAUUGUAAACUUCUGUUCUUAGUGACGAUAAUGACGGUAGCUAAGAAGAAAGCUCCGGCUAACUACGUGCCAGCAGCCGCGGUAAUACGUAGGGAGCGAGCGUUGUCCGGAUUUACUGGGUGUAAAGGGUGCGUAGGCGGCAGAGCAAGUCAGGCGUGAAAGCCAUGGGCUUAACCCAUGAACUGCGCUUGAAACUGUUUUGCUUGAGUGAAGUAGAGGCAGGCGGAAUUCCCGGUGUAGCGGUGAAAUGCGUAGAGAUCGGGAGGAACACCAGUGGCGAAGGCGGCCUGCUGGGCUUUAACUGACGCUGAGGCACGAAAGCAUGGGUAGCAAACAGGAUU
RNAcentral lists this ribosomal RNA (424 nucleotides) under uncultured Herbinix sp. RNAcentral describes it as "bacterial SSU rRNA". It matches the Rfam family "Bacterial small subunit ribosomal RNA", at positions 338 to 779 of the family's 1533-position model. Lineage: Bacteria; Bacillati; Bacillota; Clostridia; Lachnospirales; Lachnospiraceae. The record is from RNAcentral.